GUAGCAAGGUUAACCGUAUAGGGGAGCCGCAGGGAAACCGAGUCUUAACUGGGCGUUAAGUUGCAGGGUAUAGACCCGAAACCCGGUGAUCUAGCCAUGGGCAGGUUGAAGGUUGGGUAACACUAACUGGAGGACCGAACCGACUAAUGUUGAAAAAUUAGCGGAUGACUUGUGGCUGGGGGUGAAAGGCCAAUCAAACCGGGAGAUAGCUGGUUCUCCCCGAAAGCUAUUUAGGUAGCGCCUCGUGAAUUCAUCUUCGGGGGUAGAGCACUGUUUCGGCUAGGGGGUCAUCCCGACUUACCAACCCGAUGCAAACUACGAAUACCGAAGAAUGUUAUCACGGGAGACACACGGCGGGUGCUAACGUCCGUCGUGAAGAGGGAAACAACCCAGACCGCCAGCUAAGGUCCCAAAGUCAUGGUUAAGUGGGAAACGAUGUGGGAAGGCACAGACAGCCAGGAUGUUGGCUUAGAAGCAGCCAUCAUUUAAAGAAAGCGUAAUAGCUCACUGGUCGAGUCGGCCUGCGCGGAAGAUGUAACGGGGCUAAACCAUGCACCGAAGCUGCGGCAGCGACACUAUGUGUUGUUGGGUAGGGGAGCGUUCUGUAAGCCUGCGAAGGUGUGCUGUGAGGCAUGCUGGAGGUAUCAGAAGUGCGAAUGCUGACAUAAGUAACGAUAAAGCGGGUGAAAAGCCCGCUCGCCGGAAGACCAAGGGUUCCUGUCCAACGUUAAUCGGGGC
Molecule: ribosomal RNA, 738 nt
Filed under: Acinetobacter baumannii
Lineage: Bacteria; Pseudomonadati; Pseudomonadota; Gammaproteobacteria; Moraxellales; Moraxellaceae
Description: partial 23S ribosomal RNA
Rfam family: Bacterial large subunit ribosomal RNA
Source: RNAcentral